This 396-nucleotide ribosomal RNA is filed under the name uncultured bacterium. RNAcentral's name for it is "bacterial SSU rRNA". It matches the Rfam family "Bacterial small subunit ribosomal RNA", at positions 28 to 428 of the family's 1533-position model. The record is from RNAcentral.
GACGAACGCUGGCGGCGUGCUUAACACAUGCAAGUCGAGCGGUAAGGCCCUUUCGGGGGUACACGAGCGGCGAACGGGUGAGUAACACGUGGGUGACCUGCCCUCAGCUCUGGGAUAAGCCUGGGAAACCGGGUCUAAUACCGGAUAUGACUCCAUGACGCAUGUUGUGGGGUGGAAAGCCUUGUGCGGCUGAGGAUGGGCCCGCGGCCUAUCAGCUUGUUGGUGGGGUGAUGGGCCUACCAAGGCGACGACGGGUAGCCGGCCUGAGAGGGCGACCGGCCACACUGGGACUGAGACACGGCCCAGACUCCUACGGGAGGCAGCAGUGGGGAAUCUUGCGCAAUGGGCGAAAGCCUGACGCAGCGACGCCGCGUGAGGGAUGACGGCCUGGUGUAA